RNAcentral lists this ribosomal RNA (253 nucleotides) under uncultured bacterium. Its description in RNAcentral is "partial 16S ribosomal RNA". It matches the Rfam family "Bacterial small subunit ribosomal RNA", at positions 524 to 776 of the family's 1533-position model. The record is from RNAcentral.
UACGAAGGGGGCUAGCGUUGCUCGGAAUCACUGGGCGUAAAGCGCACGUAGGCGGGUUCUUAAGUCAGGGGUGAAAUCCUGGAGCUCAACUCCAGAACUGCCUUUGAUACUGGGAAUCUCGAGUCCGGGAGAGGUGAGUGGAAUUCCCGGUGUAGCGGUGAAAUGCGCAGAUAUCGGGAGGAACACCUAUGGCGAAGGCAGCUCGCUGGGACGGUACUGACGCUGAGACGCGAAAGCGUGGGGAGCAAACAGG